AUUGAACGCUGGCGGAAUGCUUUACACAUGCAAGUCGAACGGCAGCACGGACUUCGGUCUGGUGGCGAGUGGCGAACGGGUGAGUAAUGUAUCGGAACGUGCCCAGUCGUGGGGGAUAACGUAGUGAAAAUUACGCUAAUACCGCAUACGAUCUAUGGAUGAAAGCGGGGGAUCGCAAGAACUCGCGCGAUUGGAGCGGCCGAGAUCAGAUUAGGUAGUUGGUGGGGUAAAGGCCCACCAAGCCAACGAUCUGUAGCUGGGCUGAGAGGACGACCAGCCACACUGGAACUGAGACACGGUCCAGACUCCUACGGGAGGCAGCAGUGGGGAAUUUUGGACAAUGGGCGAAAGCCUGAUCCAGCCAUUCCGCGUGCAGGAUGAAGGCCCUCGGGUUGUAAACUGCUUUUGUACAGAACGAAAAGGUUUCUACUAAUACUAGGAGCUCAUGACGGUACUGUAAGAAUAAGCACCGGCUAACUACGUGCCAGCCGCCGCGGUAA
This 500-nucleotide ribosomal RNA is filed under the name uncultured bacterium. Its description in RNAcentral is "partial 16S ribosomal RNA". It matches the Rfam family "Bacterial small subunit ribosomal RNA", at positions 30 to 523 of the family's 1533-position model. The record is from RNAcentral.